RNAcentral lists this ribosomal RNA (253 nucleotides) under uncultured bacterium. RNAcentral describes it as "partial 16S ribosomal RNA". It matches the Rfam family "Bacterial small subunit ribosomal RNA", at positions 524 to 776 of the family's 1533-position model. The record is from RNAcentral.
GACGUAGGGCGCGAGCGUUGUCCGGAUUUAUUGGGCGUAAAGAGCUCGUAGGCGGCUUGUCGCGUCGUCCGUGAAAACUUGGGGCUCAACCCCAAGCUUGCGGUCGAUACGGGCAGGCUAGAGUUCGGUAGGGGAGACUGGAAUUCCUGGUGUAGCGGUGAAAUGCGCAGAUAUCAGGAGGAACACCGAUGGCGAAGGCAGCUCGCUGGGACGGUACUGACGCUGAGGCGCGAAAGCGUGGGGAGCAAACAGG